AUAAGCACUGAGCAUAAGCACUGCAUAAGCUAAGCAAUAACUAAAACAUCUCCAUAUUACCAAGAUUAUUUUCAGCACAAAUCCAAAAUACAGCCCCAUACCAGCCUAAAGAAAAUUAAAUUUAUCCCAGCCAAAACUGCUACACCCAUGUGUACAAAGAGUUAACAACUCGGUGUAUUCACAGGAUAGGAAAUAAGAACAGACUUAAUACUGAAGUGCAGUGCAUCCUCAGGAAACACAAAGACUUCCUCGGGUGACCAGAACAAAGGGGUCCACCCAGCACCACGACACAGCAGCCCACAAGACAGGACAGCUCAACUCUGAUGGAGCAUCUGCUUUUCAGCAAGGUCUUGCUUUUGUUACCCAAUUUUCCAGCUGGAUUGACAGAGGCACAAAGAAGUCAAGUGACCUGCCCGGGUCAGACAGCGCCGGUGGCUUGGAACAGAUUGGAGCCCUCCUGUCUCCAUACCCUGCACUGGACCGUGGUCCCUUUUACAAGUUCUUCUACACUAGAGAUAAAUUGUGUCCACUUUUCCCUCUUGUCUUCUUGUCUCAUAGUAAGCCCCCCUCAUUUUGUUUAUAUGGUUGUUUCACUUCUGAAUAUAGGUUUAAGCUACU
Molecule: long non-coding RNA, 618 nt
Organism: Pipra filicauda (Wire-tailed manakin)
Lineage: Eukaryota; Metazoa; Chordata; Aves; Passeriformes; Pipridae
Exons: 3
Source: RefSeq, a predicted model, not a curated record